AACGCACAUUGCGCCCCUUGGUAUUCCAUGGGGCAUGCCUGUUCGAGCGUCAUUUGUACCUUCAAGCUCUGCUUGGUGUUGGGUGUUUUGUCUCGCCUCUGCGUGUAGACUCGCCUUAAAACAAUUGGCAGCCGGCGUAUUGAUUUCGGAGCGCAGUACAUCUCGCGCUUUGCACUCAUAACGGCGACGUCCAAAAGUACAUUUUUACACUCUUGACCUCGGAUCAGGUAGGGAUACCCGCUGAACUUAA
Molecule: unclassified non-coding RNA, 250 nt
Filed under: uncultured Pleosporales
Lineage: Eukaryota; Fungi; Ascomycota; Dothideomycetes; Pleosporales
Description: sequence contains 5.8S rRNA gene, ITS2, 28S rRNA gene
Source: RNAcentral